This 245-nucleotide ribosomal RNA is filed under the name uncultured bacterium. RNAcentral describes it as "partial 16S ribosomal RNA". It matches the Rfam family "Bacterial small subunit ribosomal RNA", at positions 112 to 354 of the family's 1533-position model. The record is from RNAcentral.
AACUGGGUAACCUGCCCAAGAGACUGGGAUAACACCUGGAAACAGAUGCUAAUACCGGAUAACAACACUAGACGCAUGUCUAGAGUUUAAAAGAUGGUUCUGCUAUCACUCUUGAAUGGACCUGCGGUGCAUUAGCUAGUUGGUAAGGUAACGGCUUACCAAGGCAAUGAUGCAUAGCCGAGUUGAGAGACUGAUCGGCCACAUUGGGACUGAGACACGGCCCAAACUCCUACGGGAGGCAGCAG